RNAcentral lists this small RNA (117 nucleotides) under Marmota monax (woodchuck). Lineage: Eukaryota; Metazoa; Chordata; Mammalia; Rodentia; Sciuridae. The record is from RNAcentral.
GCCAGGCACAGUAGCAUGCACCUGCAGUCCCAGCUACUCAGGUGGCUGAAGCAGGAGGAUGGCGUGAGUCCAGAAGUUCAAGGCCAGUCUGGGCAACACAGUGAGACCCUGCCUCAA